Choloepus didactylus (southern two-toed sloth) is the source of this 780-nucleotide long non-coding RNA. RefSeq lists it as uncharacterized. Lineage: Eukaryota; Metazoa; Chordata; Mammalia; Pilosa; Megalonychidae. The record is from RefSeq and is a predicted model, not a curated record. The transcript has 3 exons.
CAGCCAGCUUCUACUGGGGAAUUCAAUGAAAACCUUCACUGGAGUUUCCAGCUUGCAGCCUGCCCUACAAAAUAUGGACUUGCCCACCCCUACAGUCAUACUCAGCGUGCUAGUGUUCCAGGCUGGAGUCCAGCGGGAGUUCAGCUGCAGGGGAAGCAGAUCAGACGGUGGGUGCCGUCAGCCAGAGACCCGAGGACUUUGCCAUGGUUGCGCCUCCCUGGAAGUUUGAAGAUGCCGGGACAGAGCCAUGUGAUGAUUUUCAUCUGACAACCAGGAACUUUGGAAGAAUCUCUGCCCUUAGGCACUUCCAUUUUUGUGUCCAGACUGGCCACCUUCCAACCUCACUAGAGGCACCGCAGAAUGAAACUCUCCGUGGAGGGUGAGAGGACAAACUGGAGAACGAGGAAAGGUCAAGGCUCCUCAAGCUUGGUCAGCCUCUCAGGCCUAACAGCAGAAGCUGGAAUUCCUUUCUGCAUAACUUGGACUUGAAUUAAAGGCAUUUUGAGUCUGGAAACCUUUGGACUAAAAAGCUUUCACUCAUAUGUAACACUCAAGGGGCAGAAAAGGACCUCAGCCUGCAGGAAGGGCACACUGACCUGUGACCUCACUGCCUUCGCCAACCUGGGAAGGCACAAAAGCUGUGGUGGGUUGGCCACACCACCUAGAGUGUUUCUGUCAGUGUAGACAUUCUAAAUCAUGUCAGCUGGCCAUGCCUUUUAAGGGAAGGGUGGUGAUGUGUUUAUAUGCUCAGAGAAGCAAGCAUUACAGAGAGAAAAUGAG